RNAcentral lists this ribosomal RNA (432 nucleotides) under uncultured bacterium. RNAcentral's name for it is "bacterial SSU rRNA". It matches the Rfam family "Bacterial small subunit ribosomal RNA", at positions 8 to 429 of the family's 1533-position model. The record is from RNAcentral.
AGAGUUUGAUCCUGGCUCAGGACGAACGCUGGCGGCGUGCUUAACACAUGCAAGUCGAACGGAGACUUAGAGGAAGUUUACUUUUUUUAAGUCUUAGUGGCGGACGGGUGAGUAACGCGUGGAUAACCUGCCUAAUAGCUGGGGACAACACCGGGAAACUGGUGCUAAUACCCGAUACGCUCUCUUAAACACAUGUUUGGGAGAGGAAAGGAGCAAUCCGCUAAUAGAUGGGUCCGCGUCCCAUUAGCUAGUUGGAGGUGUAAUGGACCCCCAAGGCGACGAUGGGUAGCCGGCCUGAGAGGGUGGACGGCCACACUGGAACUGAGACACGGUCCAGACUCCUACGGGAGGCAGCAGUGGGGAAUCUUCCGCAAUGGGCGAAAGCCUGACGGAGCAACGCCGCGUGAAUGAUGAAGGCCUUCGGGUCGUAAA